Onychostoma macrolepis is the source of this 435-nucleotide long non-coding RNA. RefSeq lists it as uncharacterized. The transcript has 5 exons. The record is from RefSeq and is a predicted model, not a curated record. NCBI's taxonomy places the organism in Eukaryota, Metazoa, Chordata, Actinopteri, Cypriniformes, Cyprinidae.
GGAGGUUACCAUGGUAACAGGGCAUCAACUCACUCAGCUGACAAGUAGCAAGAGGCUGUCUCUCUGCUGUUUUCACUGCUUUCAGGAGUGGUUUAGUGUCUUCAAAACGACUGUUAGCAUCAGAGGCUAACAAUUAGAGGAGCGUCAGAAUAAAAUACCUAAAACAGGGGAAGUUACAAGAAAAUUUGUAAUGUGAGCUGCUGACAGAGAUACAGGAAACACAGAGCUGGAGCAGAGCGGAUCUCCUGUCGAAGAACAUCUCCAAAGCGCCAUGAACCGUCUGACUAGGCAGUUCGUGAAGACGGAUAACCUGGACAGAAGUCAGUUCAAGAUCCAGCCUCCACACCAGACUUCUCACUCACAAGGAUUGUCUACUAGAUAUUAUGUGUACUCUUCAGACUUGGGUUCAUACAGAUAUUAUUCAGGGACACGAAC